RNAcentral lists this transfer RNA (71 nucleotides) under Loxodonta africana (African savanna elephant). It matches the Rfam family "tRNA". Rfam says of the family: Transfer RNA (tRNA) molecules are approximately 80 nucleotides in length. Their secondary structure includes four short double-helical elements and three loops (D, anti-codon, and T loops). Further hydrogen bonds mediate the characteristic L-shaped molecular structure. tRNAs have two regions of fundamental functional importance: the anti-codon, which is responsible for specific mRNA codon recognition, and the 3' end, to which the tRNAs corresponding amino acid is attached (by aminoacyl-tRNA synthetases). tRNAs cope with the degeneracy of the genetic code in two manners: having more than one tRNA (with a specific anti-codon) for a particular amino acid; and 'wobble' base-pairing, i.e. permitting non-standard base-pairing at the 3rd anti-codon position. The record is from Rfam by way of RNAcentral. Lineage: Eukaryota; Metazoa; Chordata; Mammalia; Proboscidea; Elephantidae.
GUAUUGGUGGUUCAGUGGUAGGGUUCUGGCUUUCCAUGCAGGAGACCUAGGUUUGAUUUCUAGCCAGUGCA